CCCAGGUAAAUCUGAAACAGGCUUCCUCCUCAUCACCGCAUGCUCAAAGAGUGACCUACCUCCAGAGGAAACUCCAACCAACUCUGGACGAUGCAUCAGUUCCAGAGCCACCCUUUGCAACACUGCCAGGAUGGGCCAGAGCAUCACCUACACUGAUGUCUGAUUCUCUAAGGCCCACCCAAGAUGGAGCACAACCCCCCGGGUGCAGAAAGCAGAUGCCUCAUACUUGAUUGGAUUCAGUUCAAGAUGGGACUCAAAGUCACACACAUGCCAGUGGCAGUGGGAGGAUGGCACCCUGCAGUUUGUAAGGUCGUACUGAGCUCCUUCCUUGAAAAUUUAUGCACCUGCCUGAUCACAAGCACCGGGUUGUGGGAAGCUUCCUGUCAGCUCACUGCAGCACAGGCUGUACUGGGUGCUCUGGCUUGGGCACUUGUGCAGGGUCAGACAGGACGACGCUGAGGCUGGAGCCAGGCGGGCAGGGCCAUGUGGUGCAGGGACAGCCUGGGGUCCUGAUGUGGCCUGUGUCAAUGCAGGCCUGGGAGCAAGACACCCCAUGGUACUUUUGGAACAAUAAAAAGGGCAAGAAUACAGAGAUGAGGCUUGUCCUAUGAGAAACACCAUUGGGUCUGCGAGAAGUUGGCCUGCCGCCCCAAGGGAACCACAGGGACUGACCACAGGGUAUGAAGGCAUGAGGGUCCCAUGACUAGAAGAGCACAUGUCCACAGUAUAGCAGCUCCAGGGGCUCAUGUUCACUACCCACCUUGUCAGCUGGACCCUGCACCCAGCACACAUGGGGCUGGCGCUAGGGCUAGCUCUGUGGCAGGCCAGUCGGGGGAGCUCCUGCGUUGAGCCUCCCACCUCACCACUCCACACCUGUCCACCUGCUGGACUCCACGUGUCUCCCCAGAGUCACCUAAGCCCUGGCAGACCCCCUUUCGAGCCCCACCGCAGAGUCCGGGGUAAAGUGCUGCCACCACCCCGAGAGGGGACCUUCUAGGUCCUGUGUCCAGGAAACACAGGCCUAAUAGUCCUACGGGUACUCGACCCAAUCCAAGCACUUGGGGCUCCUCCCCAAGUCGGGGGCCAAAAAGGAUAGUCUCCCUUAGUCUGCAGACCUAAGUGGCCUCCUAGGCAUAAUUAAACCCACCCCUCAAUAAGUCUCCUACACCAGUCAUAAAGGAGAACUGUAUUGGUUACAAAGGGUAGAGUUAGACUAGGUUAAGAGGUUGAGCACUAUCAAGGGAUUACCAUUGAGCAAAACAGUCUGGCUGAGGUAGUCGUUUGAUAUGCAAAUGCAUCACUGGGAGCUGACGAACUCUCUAGAAACACUUACAAGUAUCAUCCAGAAGAUGGUAGAGAUCUGGCUCAGAGAUUUCCAGAGAGAGCGUCUCAGUUGGAUCAGACUCUCUCCCUGUGUCCUGAUGCUUGGGCCAUGCUGGUAAAAUGGCUUCUCCACCCUUCUUCUGGGCCAGGCCCUUAUAUCGCCUUUCUGACCUUGGCAGCCCAGUCCAAGAGAAGCCAGCAGUGUUGGCAACUAGCCAACCAAUUUAAAAAGCAUCACUGGUCACCUGGGCAGAGGAACAGGGGCUUUUCCCUCCCCCACUCAGGUGACCAGAGGGACCACACCUCGGUACCAGGCUUUUGUCACAUAGGCGGGGAGGAAAAUCCCCCUCCAUCAGGAAUUUGCCCCCAGUGUCCCAAGCUGACCAGGACAGGUUUUUGGAGAGAGACACAGAUGGUGGCAUUUCUGCCACAAGCUCUGCCUUCCCUGCUCACCCUGCCUCUACCCUUCACCUUGUGGCUCCAGGGACCAGAUCCCACCUGCACCAGAGCAAUUCCCUCCCAGCCCCAAGGACUCAGCAACACCUGCUCCCUGAACUGUCUGUCAGACAGGGCCUAGCAAGGGCAUUACCAGAUGUUCCCAGGACCCGAGAUAGAUGCCAGACCCCAUAGGCCUGGAGCAGUCAGACACAGCAGCAUCUCUGACCUGCCCCAGCACACACCAGUGUGGAGGGGCCUCAGGGUCCCCCUCUUUCCCCAGCAGUGAGUUCAGGACAGUGGUGACGUGGAGCUGGCAGAUGUCUGUGCAUGGCCACCUGUCCAAUUGGGCACCUGGACAGGGUGUCUUUCUGGACUCUGCUCCCCUCCACCAGCCUGGUCACAGUCCUACACCAUUUCAUGUCCCCUGCAGCCUGGCUCCAGCAGCUCCGUGCACACAUCCAGGUCCUUAAUAAACAUGGUGCCCAGCCCCUGGACCAGAACAAAGCUCUGUGGGACUCCACUGGGAACUGCCUGCUAUUUGGACAUAGAUCUGUUUAUAAUGACCUGUCCACAACUGGGAAAGGUGCAACUUGCCACUGCCUAGUGACAAGACCUGGGGGUGCGUGUGCAGCCCAGGUGACUUUCCCAAAACAGUGGGAGAUAGUCAUCGCAGCCUGUGCUUUCCUGACCUGGGCCCAGCUCAGCCAACGCCUGCGGGCAGCUCCCUGUCCUACGGGUUUUUGCUUCUGGGAUCUCGCUUCCUGGAAGGAAAAAGCCCAUCAGACCUGAUCCACCUGGAGCUCCUGGGGGCUGGAGUCAGGACAGGGAUGGUGGGAAGAGCCGUGCCCUGGAGUUCCAGUCUUGGUACCCAAGGGGCCAUGGGCUUAUCCUGCCCUGAGCCUGAACUGGGGGGGACUUAGAGGGGUCUCAGAAAAUGUCCAUCAAUCCACAGCCUCCUCAUGUUUACAGCAGCCCCAGCCAUGCCUGAAGCUUCCCAGGCCUAGGCUGACCCAGCACAACCCCCUGGAUACUUUUGGGCCCCCAUCAUCCCAGCCAGCCCCUGCCAGGGUUGCCUGUGCCAGGGAGGGCAGGGCCUUUUCCUGCCCCACAUCCAGCCAAGCUUCAUGGCUCCACACUGUGGUCAAAACCAUUUCUGCUUCUAAGUGAUGCCGCAGCACUUCCUUUGCUCUCUCCAGCAGCCCCACACUGCAGAGCCGCCUGUACUGGGAGCUGCUUUGUGACCCACUGCCAGGAUGUAUGAGGCCCUGCAGUUCUCCAAGGCCUCCCCGGGACAGAGCAUGGACCCCCCUGGUGCAGGGACAGGUCUCAUUUACAUCCGAGAUGGAACCAGAUGACCAUUCAUUUACAUGAGAGAUGGAAAACAGAAAGCCUGAAGCAGAAACUGCAGUGAAUUCUGGGACCAGAGAAGCAGGAGAGCGCUGCAUGAUGGGGAAUCUGUGCUUCCAAUGUUAAUCAACCCAUGUUCACACACACCCAGCUCAGCAUUUAUCAUCCCAGUUCCAAUCUGGAUUUGCUAAGGACUCCCCCCCCCAGACACACACACACACACACAGCUCUAAGUUUAAUAGGCAUCUCGGGCCGUACAUUCCCCGGUCCCACUAUGGGAGGCCUAUUUAAACUUGAUUGACUAAAACUCGGUUGCCGGGUUAGGGAAUGCUGAGGCAAGAGACCGAGUCCGAGGGGGUACGGGCAACAUUUGAACAAUGGUUAAGGGUUCAUCACAGCAUCCAGCCUGCUGGAGCCCUAAUCCCAUGUGUUGUCAUAUCUUUCCCGAGACGACUGGUGGGAGUCCUCUCCACAAAAGGUUAUGAGCACCCCAAUAAUUGCUUUAGAUCUGGAAAAGUCAUGCUAAGCUGAGGCUUGUGCACAACAAGUAAAAAUCCAAAAUCCUGAUGCUGCAAGCUAUCUAUUGUUCCUGAAGAAACCAUGAGAUAUCCCAUCAGGAUAUCUGUCAUCCAUAGGAAUCUCAAGCUGGCUCCCAAGUAUUUGGGUUACUCCCUAAUCUUAAGUGUUUCCUGAUUAUCAAUCAGUUUCCUGAGAUGGUCCAAACCAGAUAACCCCUUGUCAAUAGAAAAGACAAUGAUUUACACUACUGAGGGUGCUUCAAAGCAGCUGAACUGAGGGUAUAAAAAUCUGUAAGUGUGUGUGCUUAAAAAAAAGAAGAAAGAGAAAGAAAAGGAAGAAGCAGGAGGAAAGAGGGAGAAAAGGAAAGAAGAAGAAAACUCCUGUGCUGACGCCAUCCCCUGUCAUUCUUGGGACGCUGGAAGAACAGAUUAUCUCCCUUCAAGGAUUGUGCUACGGACUGUGCCUGUCAGCUUUGCAGCCUGGGUACCGUGGACUCGGUGAGAUCCCAGCGUUCUCUCUCGUCUGUCUAGGCAUAAACUUCUGAACCUGCACUGUAUUAGUUAAGCUUGAGCUAAGUUUCCCCAAAUACUUAGUGAAACCAGAAUAUUAUUGUCAUUGUUUGUGUUUGUUUUUCUUUUGCAUGGCUAUUACUACUAGUACUAUUAUAUAUUUCAUAUGCUUAGCAAUAAAUAACUUUUAUAGGCAAACUGGUAGUAAUUGGGUAUAUUUUUCCUUCUCUGCUUCUUUUUCCUCCCGUGCU
Molecule: long non-coding RNA, 4387 nt
Organism: Alligator mississippiensis (American alligator)
Lineage: Eukaryota; Metazoa; Chordata; Crocodylia; Alligatoridae
Exons: 4
Source: RefSeq, a predicted model, not a curated record